AGGUGAAAUUCUUGGAUCGUCGCAAGACGCACUAGAGCGAAAGCAUUUGCCAAGUAUGUCUUAAUUGAUCAAGAACGAAAGUUAGAGGCCCGAAGGCGAUCAGAUACCGCCCUAGUUCUAACCAUAAACGAUGCCAGCCAGCGAUCCGCCGACGUUCCUCCGAUGACUCGGCGGGGAGCUUUCCCGGGAAACCAAAGCUUUUGGGUUCCGGGGGGAGUAUGGUCGCAAGGCUGAAACUUAAAGGAAUUGACGGAAGGGCACCACCAGGAAUGGGGCCUGCGGUUCAAUUUGACUCAACACGGGAAACCUCACCAGGCCCGGACAUUGGAAGGAUUGACAGAUCGAUAGCUCUUUCUCGAUUCAGUGGGUAGUGGUGCAUGGCCGUUCUUAGUUGGUGGAGCGAUUUGUCUGGUUAAUUCCGUUAACGAACGAGACCUCAGCCUGCUAACUAG
RNAcentral lists this ribosomal RNA (452 nucleotides) under Dulichius trispinosus. Its description in RNAcentral is "SSU rRNA". It matches the Rfam family "Eukaryotic small subunit ribosomal RNA", at positions 909 to 1358 of the family's 1831-position model. The record is from RNAcentral. Lineage: Eukaryota; Metazoa; Arthropoda; Insecta; Hemiptera; Alydidae.